GUGCCUGACAAUCUCACCCUUAGUCAUGAAACGUUUCCCACAAACAUCACACUUGAACCCUUUAUGACCAGAGUGUCUGAAGACGUGCAUGUCCAAUAUACUCUUCAGUUUGAACCUUUUCCCACAAACUUCACACUCAUGACUUCUUGCAUCAGUGUGUGUAACAAGGUGUAAUUUGAGGGUACCCUUCUGACUGAAACAUUUCCCACAAACUUCACACUCAUGAUUUCUUUCACCAGUGUGUGUAAGAGUGUGUAAUUUGAGGGUACCCUUCUGACUGAAACAUUUCCCACAAACUUCACACUCAUGAUUUCUUGCACUGGUGUGUGUAAGGGUGUGUGUGUUGAGGUGACCCUUCUGACUGAAACAUUUCCCACAAACUUCACACUCAUGGUUUCUUGCACCAGUGUGUGUAAGGGUGUGAUGUUUGGGGUUACUCCUAUUACUAAACCUUUUGCCACACUCCCGACUUUCAUGAGGUCUUACACCAGAGUGUGUGGGUGUAUUUGUUGAGGUCAUCCUUCCCUGCAUGUCUUUUCUCACACUCUUGGCUUUGGUCAGUAAACUUGCUCUCAUUCUCAGAUCUUCUCACACUUCUGAAAUUCAAACUUCCCCCUUUGUGGAUGAAGAGGCCAGCAGUUGUUGUUGUUGUUGUUGGUUGUGUUGGUGGUGUUUUUUAUCACUCCUGAACCUCACACCAGUAGCAGUCUGCUCCUGCUGAUCCCAGCCACUCCAGCUGCUGUCCCGCCUUGCAGCCUCCACUGCAACACUACUCUGGAUGUGAGGAGUUGGCUGGCCUUGAGGAACCUCAGAGAUGCUGGAGAAGGCGGCGAGGUUGCUUCAAAGCCACACUCAGUGACCAAUUGAGCAGGCAAGGCGAGGGAUGCACCAAGGAGUCCUGAAGUCAGCGGCAGCAGGGACGGAACAAGUACUGACCACAGCAACUGUCUCGAUGCCUCACUUCAACACUAACACCAGUGGUGGACAUUGGGACACAAGUCA
This is a long non-coding RNA of Eriocheir sinensis (Chinese mitten crab), 1002 nucleotides long. RefSeq lists it as uncharacterized. The record is from RefSeq and is a predicted model, not a curated record. NCBI's taxonomy places the organism in Eukaryota, Metazoa, Arthropoda, Malacostraca, Decapoda, Varunidae. The transcript has 3 exons.